UACGUAGGGGGCUAGCGUUGUCCGGAAUCAUUGGGCGUAAAGCGCGCGUAGGCGGCCCGGUAAGUCCGCUGUAAAAGUCAAAGGCUCAACCUUUGAAUGUCAGUGGAUACUGCCGGGCUAGAGUCCGGAAGAGGCGAGUGGAACUCCUGGUGUAGCGGUGGAAUGCGCAGAUAUCAGGAAGAACACCGACGGCGAAGGCAGCUCGCUGUGACGGUACUGACGCUGAGGCGCGAAAGCGUGGGGAGCGAACAGG
Molecule: ribosomal RNA, 253 nt
Filed under: uncultured bacterium
Lineage: Bacteria
Description: partial 16S ribosomal RNA
Rfam family: Bacterial small subunit ribosomal RNA
Source: RNAcentral